RNAcentral lists this transfer RNA (74 nucleotides) under Capsicum annuum. It matches the Rfam family "tRNA". From Rfam's summary of the family: Transfer RNA (tRNA) molecules are approximately 80 nucleotides in length. Their secondary structure includes four short double-helical elements and three loops (D, anti-codon, and T loops). Further hydrogen bonds mediate the characteristic L-shaped molecular structure. tRNAs have two regions of fundamental functional importance: the anti-codon, which is responsible for specific mRNA codon recognition, and the 3' end, to which the tRNAs corresponding amino acid is attached (by aminoacyl-tRNA synthetases). tRNAs cope with the degeneracy of the genetic code in two manners: having more than one tRNA (with a specific anti-codon) for a particular amino acid; and 'wobble' base-pairing, i.e. permitting non-standard base-pairing at the 3rd anti-codon position. The record is from Rfam by way of RNAcentral. Lineage: Eukaryota; Viridiplantae; Streptophyta; Magnoliopsida; Solanales; Solanaceae.
AGGGAUGUAGCGUAGUUUGGUAGCAGCUUUGUUUUGCAUAAAUAAUGACAUGGGUUCAAAUCCUAUCAUCCCAA